RNAcentral lists this ribosomal RNA (497 nucleotides) under uncultured bacterium. RNAcentral's name for it is "partial 16S ribosomal RNA". It matches the Rfam family "Bacterial small subunit ribosomal RNA", at positions 28 to 507 of the family's 1533-position model. The record is from RNAcentral.
GAUGAACGCUGGCGGCGUGCCUAAUACAUGCAAGUCGAGCGAACAGAUGAGGAGCUUGCUCCUCUGACGUUAGCGGCGGACGGGUGAGUAACACGUGGAUAACCUACCUAUAAGACUGGGAUAACUUCGGGAAACCGGAGCUAAUACCGGAUAAUAUAUUGAACCGCAUGGUUCAAUAGUGAAAGACGGUUUUGCUGUCACUUAUAGAUGGAUCCGCGCCGCAUUAGCUAGUUGGUAAGGUAACGGCUUACCAAGGCAACGAUGCGUAGCCGACCUGAGAGGGUGAUCGGCCACACUGGAACUGAGACACGGUCCAGACUCCUACGGGAGGCAGCAGUAGGGAAUCUUCCGCAAUGGGCGAAAGCCUGACGGAGCAACGCCGCGUGAGUGAUGAAGGUCUUCGGAUCGUAAAACUCUGUUAUUAGGGAAGAACAAAUGUGUAAGUAACUAUGCACGUCUUGACGGUACCUAAUCAGAAAGCCACGGCUAACGAUGUG